Molecule: ribosomal RNA, 253 nt
Filed under: uncultured bacterium
Lineage: Bacteria
Description: partial 16S ribosomal RNA
Rfam family: Bacterial small subunit ribosomal RNA
Source: RNAcentral
UACAGAGGGUGCAAGCGUUAAUCGGAAUUACUGGGCGUAAAGCGUGCGUAGACGGUCAUGUAAGUCGGGUGUGAAAGCCCCGGGCUCAACCUGGGAAUUGCAUUCGAGACUGCAUGGCUAGGGUGCGGAAGAGGGAAGCGGAAUUUCCGGUGUAGCGGUGAAAUGUGUUGAUAUUGGAAGGAACACCGGAGGCGAAAGCGGUGCACUGGGGCUGGUCUGACGCUGAGGCACGAAAGCCAGGGGAGCGAACGGG